Molecule: ribosomal RNA, 439 nt
Filed under: uncultured bacterium
Lineage: Bacteria
Description: bacterial SSU rRNA
Rfam family: Bacterial small subunit ribosomal RNA
Source: RNAcentral
AACGAACGCUAGCGGCAGGCUUAACACAUGCAAGUCGAACGUGAAGCUGGAGCUUGCUCCAGUGGAAAGUGGCAGACGGGUGAGUAACGCGUGGGAAUUUACCCAGUGGUUCGGAAUAACUUCAGGAAACCGGAGCUAAUACCGAAUACGCCCUUCGGGGGAAAGAUUUAUCGCCAUUGGAUAAGCCCGCGUCGGAUUAGCUUGUUGGUGAGGUAAAAGCUCACCAAGGCGACGAUCCGUAGCUGGUCUGAGAGGAUGAUCAGCCACACUGGGACUGAGACACGGCCCAGACUCCUACGGGAGGCAGCAGUGGGGAAUAUUGCGCAAUGGAGGAAACUCUGACGCAGCCAUGCCGCGUGAGUGAAGAAGGCCUUAGGGUUGUAAAACUCUUUCGCUAGGGAAGAUAAUGACGGUACCUAGUAAAGAAGCCCCGCCAACU